RNAcentral lists this ribosomal RNA (18 nucleotides) under Septoria citri. RNAcentral describes it as "partial 18S ribosomal RNA". Lineage: Eukaryota; Fungi; Ascomycota; Dothideomycetes; Mycosphaerellales; Mycosphaerellaceae. The record is from RNAcentral.
AACUCGGAGGGAUCAUUA